Long non-coding RNA from Ictalurus punctatus (channel catfish), 1711 nucleotides. NCBI's taxonomy places the organism in Eukaryota, Metazoa, Chordata, Actinopteri, Siluriformes, Ictaluridae. The record is from Ensembl.
GUCAGAGUGGAGUCAGAGUGGAGUUGGAGUCAGAGUGGAAUCAGAGUCAGAGUCAGACUGGAAGUGGAAUCAGAGUCAGAGUCGGAGUGGAGUUGGAGUCAGAGUCGGAAUGGAGUUGGAGUCAGAGUCGAGUCAGAGUGGAGUCAGAGUUAGAGUGGAGACAGAGUCAAGUCAGAGUCGGAGCGGAGUCAGAGUCAGAGUCGGCUCAGAGUCGGAGUGGAGUCGGAGUCAGAGUGGAGUCAGAGUCGGAAUGGAGUUGGAGUCAGAGUGGAGUCAGUGACGGACUCAAGAGUUAGUGUGGAGUCAGAGUUGGAGUGGAGACGGAGUCGGAGUGGAGUUGGAGUCAGAGUGGAAUCAGAGUCAGAGUCGGAGUGGAGUUGGAGUCAGAGUGGAAUCAGAGUCAAGAGUCAGAGUGGAGUCGGACUGGAGUUGGAGUCAGAGUGGAAUCAGAGUCAGAGUCAGAGUGGAGACAGAGUCAGAGUGGAGUCAGAGUCAGAGUGGAGACAGAGUGGAGUCAGAGUCGGAGUGGAGUCAGAGGAAAAGUGGAGUUGGAGUCAGAGUGGAAUCAGAGUCAGAGUGGAGUUGGAGUCAGAGUGGAAUCAGAGUCAGAGUGGAGUCAGAGUCAGAGUGGAGACAGAGUGGAGUCAGAGUCAGAGUGGAGUCAGAGUCUUAGUGGAGUUGGAGUCAGAGUGGAAUCAGAGUCGGAGACGGAGUCAGAGUGGAGUUGGAGUCAGAGUGGAAUCAGAGUCAGAACGGAGUCAGAGUCAGAGUGGAGUCAGAGUCAGAGAGAAGACAGAGACAGAGUCAGAGUGGAGUCAGAGUCAGAGUGGAGUUGGAGUCAGAGUGGAAUCAGAGUCAGAGUCGGAGUGGAGUUGGAGUCAGAGUGGAGUCAGAGUCAGAGUGGAGUCAGAGUGGAGUCAGAGUGGAGACAGAGUCGAGUGGGAGUCGGAGCGGAGUCAGAGUCAGGGCGGAGUCGGAGUCAGAGUGGAAUCAGAGUCAGAGUCGGAGUGGAGUUGGAGUCAGAGUAGAGUCAGAGUCGGAAUGGAGUUGGAGUCAGAGUGGAGUCAGUGACGGACUCAGAGUUAGCGUGGAGUCAGAGUUGGAGUGGAGACGGAGUCAGAGUCAGAGUGGAGACAGAGUGGAGUCAGAGUCAGAGUGGAGUCAGAGUAUUAGUGGAGUUGGAGUCAGAGUGGAAUCAGAGUCGGAGACGGAGUCGGAGUGGAGUUCGAGUCAGAGUGGAAUCAGAGUCAGAGUCAGAACAGAGUCAGAGUGGAGUCAGAGUCAGAGUGAAAUCAGAGUCAGAGUUGGAUCAGAGUGGAGUCAGAAUCAGAGUGUAGUCAGAGUCGAGUCAGGGUGGAGUCAGAGUCAGAGCGGAGUCAGAGUCAGAGUCGGCUCAGAGUCGGAGUGGAGUCGGAGUCAGAGUGGAGUCAGAGUCGGAAUGGAGUUGGAGUCAGAGUGGAGUCAGUGUGGAGUAAGAGACGGAGUGGAGUUGGAGUCAGAGUGGAAGUGGAGUCAGAGUCGGAGUGGAGUCAGAGUCAGAGUGGAGACAGAGACAGAGUCAGAGUGGAGUCAGAGUCGGAGUGGAGUUGCAGUCAGAGUGGAAUCAGAGUCAGAGUCAGAAUGGAGUUGGAGUCAGAGUGGAAUCAGAGUCAGAGUCGGAGUGGAAGUGGAGUCAGAAUCAGAGUGGAGUCAGAGUGGAGACAGAGUCGAG